This 333-nucleotide unclassified non-coding RNA is filed under the name uncultured Glomerales. RNAcentral's name for it is "SSU rRNA". It matches the Rfam family "Eukaryotic small subunit ribosomal RNA", at positions 548 to 886 of the family's 1831-position model. Lineage: Eukaryota; Fungi; Glomeromycota; Glomeromycetes; Glomerales; Glomeraceae. The record is from RNAcentral. RNAcentral also lists the same sequence under 1 other name.
UUGGAGGGCAAGUCUGGUGCCAGCAGCCGCGGUAAUUCCAGCUCCAAUAGCGUAUAUUAAAGUUGUUGCAGUUAAAAAGCUCGUAGUUGAAUUUCGGGGUUAGCAGGUCGGUCGUGCCAAUGGUAUGCACUGGCUCGCUGACUCCUCCUUCUUGUAGAACCGUAAUGCCAUUAAUUUGGUGUUGCGGGGAAACAGGACUGUUACUUUGAAAAAAUUAGAGUGUUUAAAGCAGGCUAGCGCCUGAAUACAUUAGCAUGGAAUAAUGAAAUAGGACGUUCGAACCUAUUUUGUUGGUUUCUAGGAUUGACGUAAUGAUUAAUAGGGAUAGUUGGG